AUGGACAUCACCUCUGAUGUCCUGUCCUUCCCUCACCCCGCAGGUCAGCCCAAGUCGGCGCCCUCGGUCACUCUGUUCCCGCCCUCCUCUGAGGAGCUCAGCGCCAACAAGGCCACACUGGUGUGUCUCAUCAGUGACUUCUACCCCGGCGGCGUGACUGUGGCCUGGAAGGCAGACGGCAGCGUCAUCAGCCAGGGCGUGGAGACCACCAAGCCCUCGAAACAGAGCAACAACAAGUACGCGGCCAGCAGCUACCUGAGCCUGACGGCCGAGAAGUGGAAAGCUGCAAACAGAUUCAGCUGCCAGGUCACGCACGAUGGGAGCACUGUGGAGAAGACAGUGGAACCCUCAGCAUGUUCCUAGGAUGCUGAUCACCCCCACCCUCGGGGAACUGGAGCCCCGGGACCCCGGGGGGAACACCCGUCCCAAACCUCAGCCGACCUCCUUCCUGCACCCAAUUAACUCUCAAUAAAAUGUCCUCAUUGUCAAUCAGA
Non-coding RNA from Hipposideros armiger (great roundleaf bat), 494 nucleotides. The record is from the annotation of a RefSeq genome assembly. NCBI's taxonomy places the organism in Eukaryota, Metazoa, Chordata, Mammalia, Chiroptera, Hipposideridae.